RNAcentral lists this ribosomal RNA (253 nucleotides) under uncultured bacterium. RNAcentral's name for it is "partial 16S ribosomal RNA". It matches the Rfam family "Bacterial small subunit ribosomal RNA", at positions 524 to 776 of the family's 1533-position model. The record is from RNAcentral.
UACGAAGGGUGCAAGCGUUAAUCGGAAUUACUGGGCGUAAAGCGUGCGUAGGUGGUUUGUUAAGUCUGCUGUGAAAGCCCUGGGCUCAACCUGGGAAUGGCGGUGGAUACUGACAAGCUAGAGUGCGGUAGAGGAGGGUGGAAUUCCCGGUGUAGCGGUGAAAUACGUAGAGAUCGGGAGGAACAUCAGUGGCGAAGGCGGCCCUCUGGACCAGCACUGACGCUGAGGCACGAAAGCGUGGGGAGCAAACAGG